CUACGGGGCGCAGCAGUGAGGAAUUUUGCGCAAUGGGGGAAACCCUGACGCAGCAACGCCGCGUGAGUGAUGAAGGCCUUCGGGUCGUAAAGCUCUGUCAAGUGGGAAGAAAAUACGAGAUGCUAAUACCAUUUCGUACUGACGGUACCACUGAAGGAAGCACCGGGUAACUCCGUGCCAGCAGCCGCGGUAAUACGGGGGGUGCAAGCGUUAUUCGGAAUUAUUGGGCGUAAAGAGCGCGUAGGCGGCCUUUUAAGUCAGAUGUGAAAGCCCGGGGCUUAACCUUGGAAGUGCAUUUGAUACUAAGGGGCUUGAGUAUGGGAGAGGGAAGUGGAAUUCCUGGUGUAGAGGUGAAAUUCGUAGAUAUCAGGAGGAACACCGGUGGCGAAGGCGACUUCCUGGACCAAUACUGACGCUGAGGCGCGAAGGCGUGGGGAGCAAACAGGAUUAGAUACCCGGGUAGUC
Molecule: ribosomal RNA, 465 nt
Filed under: uncultured bacterium
Lineage: Bacteria
Description: partial 16S ribosomal RNA
Rfam family: Bacterial small subunit ribosomal RNA
Source: RNAcentral